UACGUAGGGGGCUAGCGUUGUCCGGAUUUAUUGGGCGUAAAGAGCGUGUAGGCGGCCAUGUAGGUCCGGUGUGAAAACUCGAGGCUUAACCUCGAGAUGUCAUCGGAAACCAUUUGGCUAGAGUCCGGAAGAGGAGAGUGGAAUUCCUGGUGUAGCGGUGAAAUGCGUAGAUAUCAGGAGGAACACCUGUGGCGAAAGCGGCGCACUGGACCACAACUGACGCUGAGGCGCGAAAGCUAGGGGAGCAAACAGG
This 253-nucleotide ribosomal RNA is filed under the name uncultured bacterium. Its description in RNAcentral is "partial 16S ribosomal RNA". It matches the Rfam family "Bacterial small subunit ribosomal RNA", at positions 524 to 776 of the family's 1533-position model. The record is from RNAcentral.